Molecule: transfer RNA, 75 nt
Filed under: Patescibacteria group bacterium
Lineage: Bacteria
Description: tRNA-Glu
Rfam family: tRNA
About the family: Transfer RNA (tRNA) molecules are approximately 80 nucleotides in length. Their secondary structure includes four short double-helical elements and three loops (D, anti-codon, and T loops). Further hydrogen bonds mediate the characteristic L-shaped molecular structure. tRNAs have two regions of fundamental functional importance: the anti-codon, which is responsible for specific mRNA codon recognition, and the 3' end, to which the tRNAs corresponding amino acid is attached (by aminoacyl-tRNA synthetases). tRNAs cope with the degeneracy of the genetic code in two manners: having more than one tRNA (with a specific anti-codon) for a particular amino acid; and 'wobble' base-pairing, i.e. permitting non-standard base-pairing at the 3rd anti-codon position.
Source: RNAcentral
GGCCUCAUCGUUUAAUGGCUAGGACAACCCCCUCUCACGGGGUAAAUGGGGGUUCGAUUCCCCCUGGGGCUACCA